Molecule: long non-coding RNA, 1105 nt
Filed under: Oryctolagus cuniculus (rabbit)
Lineage: Eukaryota; Metazoa; Chordata; Mammalia; Lagomorpha; Leporidae
Description: lncRNA (ENSOCUG00000036197.1)
Source: RNAcentral
GUCGCGAGCGGAGGAGCGGAGAGCACGACUCGGGUGCCCCAGGUCACACAGCGGAUGGACAGCCGGGGCAGAGCAGUACCCAGGGAUCCCGGCGGCCAGGUUCUCUCCGCGCCCGCCCCGAAAGCCGGAGGACAGAUGCUGAGCAAGGUCACCUGGCUGAGCGGCUGAGCAAGGCCCAAGAGCAGGAACAGCACAAGCGGCCGUAGUGGAGGCAGCAACCAGUGCCCGGGCCACUCGCAUGGCAACAGUGGGGCAGUGACGAUGACAGCUGCUCCACUUUUAAAGAUGUAUUUAUAUAUUUAUUUGAAAGGCAGAGUGACGAGAGAGAGAGAGAGAGAGAGAGAGAGAGGUCUUCUAUCUGCUGGUUCACUCCCCAGACGGCUGCAACAGCAGGGCUGGGCCAGGCUGAGACCCAGCACCUGGAGCCCCAUCCUGCUCGCCCACCUGAGCGGCGGGGACCCAAGUCCUUGGCUCUCCCUGGCCGCCCCCAGGCGCGUUGUCAGGGAGCUGGCACUGGGAGCAGGCAGCAGCCAGGACUCCAGGCAGGCACUGGGACGCGGGAUGUGGGGCUGAUUGCACCGUGCCUCCCGGCCGCCUCCUUAGGGACACACGAUGGAGUUUUAAUUUCUUUUCAGAAUAGAAGAAAAAAAAAAACACAAAUAUACCGCAGCCCAGAGCACCAAGCAGUGUCAGUACAAGUCUGUUACCGGGGAAAGGGCCCAGGCAGACAAAGCUCCGGGAGCCCACAGGCCUGGGGGCCAGGACCCCACGUGCGGCAGCAGGCACAGGCCGCGCACACAGCAGGUGCUCCCGGAACUCCUGGAACAGAAAGCAAGAAGGAAUCCGAGGGGGCCUCGGCAUAUCCCAGAGAGGGCCGGCUCUGCCCAGACCCGGGUUCCAAUCCCACAGUUCUUCCUCCUUGUUCUUGGCUUGGGCAGGGCCCCCUGCCCUCCCCAGCACCGCUCCCCAUCGGUGCAGUGAGAAUCACCAUGUUCGUGGCCUUGGUUGUCUGUGUGUUUCUCGGGCUCCAGAGAGACACAUGGCUCUGUCCUGUCCCGCAUGGUAGGGGGACCCCAGGACGGCAGUCAUCGCCCCGCACCACUGG